Molecule: ribosomal RNA, 497 nt
Filed under: uncultured bacterium
Lineage: Bacteria
Description: partial 16S ribosomal RNA
Rfam family: Bacterial small subunit ribosomal RNA
Source: RNAcentral
GAUGAACGCUGGCGGCGUGCCUAAUACAUGCAAGUCGAGCGAACGGACGAGAAUCUUGCUUCUCUGAUGUUAGCGGCGGACGGGUGAGUAACACGUGGAUAACCUACCUAUAAGACUGGGAUAACUUCGGGAAACCGGAGCUAAUACCGGAUAAUAUUUUGAACCGCAUGGUUCAAAAGUGAAAGACGGUCUUGCUGUCACUUAUAGAUGGAUCCGCGCUGCAUUAGCUAGUUGGUAAGGUAACGGCUUACCAAGGCAACGAUGCAUAGCCGACCUGAGAGGGUGAUCGGCCACACUGGAACUGAGACACGGUCCAGACUCCUACGGGAGGCAGCAGUAGGGAAUCUUCCGCAAUGGGCGAAAGCCUGACGGAGCAACGCCGCGUGAGUGAUGAAGGUCUUCGGAUCGUAAAACUCUGUUAUUAGGGAAGAACAUAUGUGUAAGUAACUGUGCACAUCUUGACGGUACCUACUCAGAAAGCCACGGCUAACUACGUG